Molecule: long non-coding RNA, 738 nt
Organism: Serinus canaria (Common canary)
Lineage: Eukaryota; Metazoa; Chordata; Aves; Passeriformes; Fringillidae
Exons: 3
Source: RefSeq, a predicted model, not a curated record
GGCGCGGCCCUUCGAAUAUGAGCGGCCGCAGGCCGGGACCGGGCGGCUAGAACUGGAGCUUCGGCAGCGGUGCCAGAGAUGAAGACGGACACGAUUCCCCGGCCAUGGUGAACAGCACAAAGGUUUGUUCUGAUCCCCUCCAUGAUCCGUCCCAGCUCCAGGACUUCAGUGUCUUCAUCAAAAUUAUCCACAAAAUGAGUUAAUGCAAACCCUGCACUCUUCCAGCCACGGGAGCAAGGAGGGGGAGUCUGUGCUGGAGCAGCCGCUGCCAGAGAGGAUCUCCUUCAUCCAUGGUUUCCUGCAGAGUAAGACCCUCCGCUGGUGCUGGGGAAAGUGACUGCCCCUGCUCAGUGCCCCUGACCUCUGAGAGAGUCUUGUCUGCUGUCUGCAGCUUCCCUCUCCACAAAGUGACCCCCUCACCCCACAUCAACAGCUUUGCGAGGUGCCAGCAGCUUUCCUGUAGCAGCCUGUGGAAGGGAAAGCUUCCUGAUGGGAAACUUCCAGAUGGAAAUCCUUAUCAGAGUCUAGGUUCAGAGCAAGGGAGGUCCUGGGUGUGAAGGACAGGGUGCCAGUGGCUGCUCUGGUGAUACUGCCUUGAAGCAGUUUUCCUAGCUGGGUACCUGGACCCAAGUUCUUCAAAUCACAGUGGAGAAUCUUUACCUAAGCAGAAAUCCUGGGAGGGGAAAUGGGAAGUAUCUCACACUCUUGCUCAGCCUUUUGUAGAGGGAAGACACCAUA